GAUGAACGCUGGCGGCGUGCCUAAUACAUGCAAGUCGAGCGAACGGACGAGAAGCUUGCUUCUCUGAUGUUAGCGGCGGACGGGUGAGUAACACGUGGAUAACCUACCUAUAAGACUGGGAUAACUUCGGGAAACCGUAGCCAAUACCGGAUAAUCUUUUGAACCGCAUGGUUCAAAAGUGAAAGACGGUCUUGCUGUCACUUAUAGAUGGAUCCGCGCUGCAUUAGCUAGUUGGUAAGGUAACGGCUUACCAAGGCAACGAUGCAUAGCCGACCUGAGAGGGUGAUCGGCCACACUGGAACUGAGACACGGUCCAGACUCCUACGGGAGGCAGCAGUAGGGAAUCUUCCGCAAUGGGCGAAAGCCUGACGGAGCAACGCCGCGUGAGUGAUGAAGGUCUUCGGAUCGUAAAACUCUGUUAUUAGGGAAGAACAUAUGUGUAAGUAACUGUGCACAUCUUGACGGUACCUAAUCAGAAAGCCACGGCUAACUACGUG
This 497-nucleotide ribosomal RNA is filed under the name uncultured bacterium. RNAcentral's name for it is "partial 16S ribosomal RNA". It matches the Rfam family "Bacterial small subunit ribosomal RNA", at positions 28 to 507 of the family's 1533-position model. The record is from RNAcentral.